GCCACCGUGGCUAGACCGGUAAUGCACCAGUUUUGUAAACUGGCUUAUGUGGGUUCAAUUCCCACCGGUGGCUCCA
This 76-nucleotide transfer RNA is filed under the name Candidatus Babelota bacterium. Its description in RNAcentral is "Candidatus Dependentiae bacterium tRNA-Thr". It matches the Rfam family "tRNA". Rfam says of the family: Transfer RNA (tRNA) molecules are approximately 80 nucleotides in length. Their secondary structure includes four short double-helical elements and three loops (D, anti-codon, and T loops). Further hydrogen bonds mediate the characteristic L-shaped molecular structure. tRNAs have two regions of fundamental functional importance: the anti-codon, which is responsible for specific mRNA codon recognition, and the 3' end, to which the tRNAs corresponding amino acid is attached (by aminoacyl-tRNA synthetases). tRNAs cope with the degeneracy of the genetic code in two manners: having more than one tRNA (with a specific anti-codon) for a particular amino acid; and 'wobble' base-pairing, i.e. permitting non-standard base-pairing at the 3rd anti-codon position. The record is from RNAcentral.